AUUGAACGCUGGCGGCAGGCCUAACACAUGCAAGUCGAGCGGUAGAGAGGUGCUUGCAUCUCUGAGAGCGGCGGACGGGUGAGUAAUGCCUAGGAAUCUGCCUGGUGGUGGGGGAUAACGUUCGGAAACGGACGCUAAUACCGCAUACGUCCUACGGGAGAAAGCGGGGGAUCUUCGGACCUCGCGCCAUUAGAUGAGCCUAGGUCGGAUUAGCUAGUUGGUGAGGUAAUGGCUCACCAAGGCGACGAUCCGUAACUGGUCUGAGAGGAUGAUCAGUCACACUGGAACUGAGACACGGUCCAGACUCCUACGGGAGGCAGCAGUGGGGAAUAUUGGACAAUGGGCGAAAGCCUGAUCCAGCCAUGCCGCGUGUGUGAAGAAGGUCUUCGGAUUGUAAAGCACUUUAAGUUGGGAGGAAGGGUAGUAACCUAAUACGUUGCUACUUUGACGUUACCGACAGAAUAAGCACCGGCUAACUUCGUG
Molecule: ribosomal RNA, 483 nt
Filed under: uncultured bacterium
Lineage: Bacteria
Description: bacterial SSU rRNA
Rfam family: Bacterial small subunit ribosomal RNA
Source: RNAcentral